This 460-nucleotide ribosomal RNA is filed under the name uncultured bacterium. RNAcentral describes it as "partial 16S ribosomal RNA". It matches the Rfam family "Bacterial small subunit ribosomal RNA", at positions 338 to 795 of the family's 1533-position model. The record is from RNAcentral.
CCUACGGGGGGCAGCAGUGAGGAAUAUUGGUCAAUGGGCGAGAGCCUGAACCAGCCAAGUAGCGUGAAGGAUGACUGCCCUACGGGUUGUAAACUUCUUUUAUAAAGGAAUAAAAUGAGGCACGUGUGCCUUUUUGUAUGUACUUUAUGAAUAAGGAUCGGCUAACUCCGUGCCAGCAGCCGCGGUAAUACGGAGGAUCCAAGCGUUAUCCGGAUUUAUUGGGUUUAAAGGGAGCGUAGAUGGGUUGUUAAGUUAGUUGUGAAAGUUUGCGGCUCAACCGGAAAAUUGCAAUUGAUACUGGUAGUCUUGAGUAUAGAUGCGGUAGGCGGAAUGUGUGGUGUAGCGGUGAAAUGCUUAGAGAUCACGCAGAACGCCGAUUGCGAAGGCAGCUUACCAAUCUGUAACUGACAUUGAUGCUCGAAAGUGUGGGUAUCAAACAGGAUUAGAUACCCCAGUAGUC